This is an RNA transcript of Solanum verrucosum, 3045 nucleotides long. It is a transcript of the gene named F-box protein At2g26160-like, with no coding region annotated. The transcript has 4 exons. NCBI's taxonomy places the organism in Eukaryota, Viridiplantae, Streptophyta, Magnoliopsida, Solanales, Solanaceae. The record is from RefSeq and is a predicted model, not a curated record.
GCUCCGCCCAUUUCAUCGCCGUCACCGCUGAAAAAAUUGGUAGAUCGAAGAAUUUUCGGUGUGCAUCUUCAUUCUCCAUCAUAUCAAUGUUCAUCGGGAGUUUGAUUCGCAUAAAUUAGGUAUUUUCGGAUCAUUUGCCCAAUUUUGUUAAAUACUUUUGUUAGAUAGGGAUUGAAAAUGAGAACAAUGGUUGAUUGGUCGGAACUUCAACCUGAAUUGUUGGUUUUAAUUGCUAAACGUAUAAAUCUGAUCGAGGACUACCUUAAUUUUCGAACUGUUUGCACAUCGUGGUACACUGUAGCCACUAGGGAUAAUUUUAGUAGUAAUUUGCCUAGGGCUCCCUGGCUAAUGUUAGCUGAGGAAGAGGAUGAUAGAACAUAUAGAAAAUUCUUCAGUCUGUACAAUGGGAUGAUUUUGAAAAAGAGGAUCCCGGGAGCGAGUGAGAAGAGAUGUGUGGAGUCAAAGGGAUGGCUUGUUACAGUUGGAAAGGAUGAGGGUGAGAUUAGUUUGUUACAACCCUUCUCUGGUGUUAGAAUUGAAUUGCCACAUCAAAACACAACUGAUUCUUAUGAACACAACUACACUCACGAUCUAUGGACCUAUAUCCGUAAAGCAGUUCUGUCAGCUAAUCCUUCUCAUACGUCGGACUAUGCUCUCAUGGUCAUUGAGGGAAGAUUCGAGCGCCUCAGUUUAUGGAGACCAGGAGAUUUGUUGUGGACCAGGAUUUGGAUCCCCACCCACAUUGGACAUAUUAGUGAUGUGGUAUAUUUCAGUGGUCACUUUUAUGCUGUCACUUUUGGCCGUUGUGUCCUAGUUUGUGAUGUUGUUGGCACUCAACUCACUAAAGUUUAUAGUGUAGCACAUCUUGCACCAUGGACUGACGGUAAGAAUUACAUCCUAGAAUCACUAGGAUCAUUAUUUGUAGUUGCGCAACAGAUUGUUGAUACACGGUAUGUCAAAGGGGAUCGUGAGAGUAUUCCACCGACGCACAUCCCAGGUGGAGAUGAUGAGGAGGAGAAGAUUUGCACGCACAGGACAAGAAAAUUUCUAGUUUUCCGAAUCGAUUUAUCUAGCUGCAAGGCUAUACCAAUCAUGGAUUUAGGAGACCAAGCUUUUUUCUUGGGUGCUAAUGCUUCUCUUUCAAUCCAAGCUUCUCAAUUUCCAGGAAUCAAGCCCAACUGUAUUUAUUUUACAGAUAACUGGAUUGGUGCAUACCUCUUCUUUAAAAAAGGAUGCGGUUUGGACAUGGGGGUGUUCAACUUAGCAGAUGGAAGUAUCGAGCCGCUUUAUGAUGGUAUCUCUGUCAGUCGUGUUUGUCCUCCAAUCUGGGUCACACCAAAUCCAUGAUGAGCAUCCACUGAUCCAUCAAAUCCAGUUACAUCUACUGAUGCUCAUAAAAUUUGCGAAUCUUGCCCAGAAGCGCAGGUGUAUGACUUAAGUUAUUUUGGAUGUUCAAGAAUGUAUUAUAAUUUGCAGCUACACAUCUAGUGUUAUAAAUGGCUGGUUGGUCGGAGCUUCCACAGGAUUUGUUGAGGUUAAUAGCUCAUUCUCUUGCUACAUACACUGAUCCAGUCCAGUUCACAUGUGUUUGUAAUUCAUGGAGGUCAGUGUUACCUACUAUUUCGAGUAUUAAGGGAGUUCAGCCAUGGUUGUUGCUGCCUCGUGACAAUAAUACAAACGCAAAAACUUGAGAAGCAUCUUAUUAGCAUACAUGAAAAAAGAGUAGUUCACUACCUUGAGGUCCCAAAGGUCCUUGGUAAGGAGUUUCGCGGUUCGUCCUACGGAGGGUUAGUUUCUACUUUCUAUUAAAGACACCUACAAUCUGUUUAACCCAAUCACUAGGGGUCAAAUCACCCUUCCACCGAGGUAUAAGUUCCCUGAUGUGAGAAAUAUUGUGCAAAGAAGCUUGAAACUGAAAAUGCGCUUGAAUCCCAAGAUGUGACUUUAUUCCUUUCGGCGGAUCUGGUCAACGCUCGUCUUUUAUUCAAAGUUGUCCUAUCUUCAAGCAAAGUUAACUCUAUGGUUGUUGCCAUCUAUGGUGGUAAUUAUAACUUGGCCUACUGCAAACUCGGAGAUAAAAAAAGUGGUUAUCCAUUUCCAAAACAGGAUACCACGAUACCAUCUGUUAUCACUACCGGAAGAAACGCCCUUUAGUGGCAAUUAAUUGAAUAUCGGUAACUUUCCUUUUGUUCAACUAUUAGCGGCAUUUGGAGAUUAGCUGGGAAUAAAGACCUUUUCACUGGUUAUUGAAGAGAAUAGCCACAAAAAGUUGAUACUGAAUGCAAAUUAUUGAAAGUGAAUUUUUCCUAAUUUUACCUUCCCUCCCUCUCUUCAUUUCUCUCCUUGUAAACCUGAAAUCCUAUCACCUGUUUUCCGAUUUUUCAGUGUACCUGCAAUGGUUUCAUUGGGGAUUUCGGAUUUGUGGUGGAUUUUAGAUAUUCUGGAUAGGAAUGAUACGGAAGAGGAAAGACAAGUAAGCUUGUUUGAUGCGGUGGAUGACUCGUCAGCAUUGGCGAAGAAAGCCCAUGGAAGCUUAAAUGGUGGAAACAACAUGACGCCUGAUGUUUGAUCAACAAGUGGUACGAAAAACCUUCUCACAGAGAUUCUAUGAAUUUUGGAGAAGAGGAAGACUCUUCUGGUAUGGCAUCAAAAAGAGGAGUUCUCAAGAUGAUUAAUAUCCAAUCAUUGGCAAUGCCUUCUCUGUCACCGGCUUUUUUCACCAGCAUAUAUGUUGUUCUUCAGUGGAUUUGGUAAUAAUUAUGUUGGAGUACAAAUUGGGAGACAAGAAUAUGUAUAUGUGGGAGACUACUCGUUAUUGCUCAUUUGGCAGCAUCAUUUCUCUUGGAUUUGAAAAUAUUGUUUGUGUUUUCGUGGCUGCUGAUACGUUGAAGUCUAUUAAUUUUCAAUAGAUAACAGGGGAUGUAGCUCAAAUGGUAGAGCACUCGCUUUGCAUGCGAGAGGCACGGGGUUCAAUCCCCCGCAUCUCCAUUCAUUUUCGUUUCGUCUCUACCUCCACGAGGUAGGGGUAAGGUCUGGGUACACUCU